Molecule: non-coding RNA, 410 nt
Organism: Zonotrichia albicollis (white-throated sparrow)
Lineage: Eukaryota; Metazoa; Chordata; Aves; Passeriformes; Passerellidae
Source: RefSeq, a predicted model, not a curated record
GGGCCGGGCCCACCUGAGCCUCUGCAGGGUGGUUGAAGGGGCAGCCCGGGGAUAGCCGGUCAGAUAACGAAAGUAGCGCGUUCUCCUCGGGUCAUAGAAUCGCUGCGGUUGGAAGGAGCCUCUGGAGAUCAUCCGCUCCAAGUCCUGCCACGGCAGGGCCACCUAGAGCAGGGUCCAGGCCGUUGCUCCUCAUCCUGUCGCUGGGCAGCACCGAGAAGAGUCCGGCACGGAUGCCCUUGGCACCCGCCCUUGAGAUGCUCACAGAUAUUAAUGGCAUGCGCUCCUGAAGGCGGAGCCGGUCCCCAAGGAGGCGCUGACACCCCCGCUCUCAGGCUGCUCAGCUCGCCCGGGCACUUACCCUGGUUCAGGUGUAUUGAAUAAAAUGCCACGGGAGAAUUCCAGGAGAUUAA